GGGUGAUUCAGACUUGAGGUGCUUUCCCCAGGACGCCUGUCUCCCACAGAUGGAGGGCAUGGCCCAGGAACUGAAACUUCUGCCCUCACUAUGGGGAAAAACUGUCUCACUGGGUGAGCCUUGAAAGAAGAUGGUGAGUGGUUAAAGACAUUUGAAAAGAGCUCACUCAACACAAGAGAGAAAUUGCAUGAAGAAAAGUUCAUUUGUUUUGUUUACUGGCAUUCUGGAGGGAUUUUUUAAUACAGGAAUGACUAUCUGGGCAGUGAAG
Long non-coding RNA from Oxyura jamaicensis (ruddy duck), 268 nucleotides. RefSeq lists it as uncharacterized. The record is from RefSeq and is a predicted model, not a curated record. The transcript is spliced from 2 exons. NCBI's taxonomy places the organism in Eukaryota, Metazoa, Chordata, Aves, Anseriformes, Anatidae.